RNAcentral lists this transfer RNA (75 nucleotides) under Paenibacillus macerans. Its description in RNAcentral is "tRNA-Gln". It matches the Rfam family "tRNA". From Rfam's summary of the family: Transfer RNA (tRNA) molecules are approximately 80 nucleotides in length. Their secondary structure includes four short double-helical elements and three loops (D, anti-codon, and T loops). RNAcentral also lists the same sequence under 17 other names. The record is from RNAcentral. Lineage: Bacteria; Bacillati; Bacillota; Bacilli; Caryophanales; Paenibacillaceae.
UGGGGAUUAGCCAAGCGGUAAGGCAACGGACUUUGACUCCGUCAUCCAUAGGUUCGAAUCCUAUAUCCCCAGCCA